Molecule: small RNA, 227 nt
Filed under: Arabidopsis thaliana (thale cress)
Lineage: Eukaryota; Viridiplantae; Streptophyta; Magnoliopsida; Brassicales; Brassicaceae
Description: ATSL285240
Source: RNAcentral
AUUUGGAUGAUACGGGUUUCGAGUUCACUACGACGGGAAGAUUAUAACCGUCCACGAGGCUUACAUCGUAGAAAUUAGGUUUGGAUUUGUCGGCUUGUACCGCAAUUUGAAUAAGUGUUGCCGGAGGUUUUCCGAUUAAUCCAUUACACUCCAGAUGUCCAUCACAAUCACCUAAAUUUCGUUGUAAUUCAAAAUUAGUUUAUAUGAUUCUAACUAAUCUUGUGUAU